CCCACAGUGUUGUGCUAACAUUUUAACCUACUCCAAAAUCAAACCAACCCUUCGCUUCUACAUCGGUCACCAUUUUUCUUUCAGCCAUCUGCCUGCCUUAAAGGUUAAGAGUGAAGGUUGGAAAGUUGAAGAGGAACAUGAAAGGAAGCUUCCUCAGUCAGAGGGUCAUAAGAGUGUGGAACAAGCUGUCAGCAUAAGUGGUGCAUGAGAGCUCGACUUCAACGUUUAAACAAAGUUUGGAUAGGAAGAUGCUUCGAGAGGCUGGUUAAAGACUACACCUGCAGGAUGCUACCACCCACAACUGGACCCCUACAAUUCAUCUAGCAACGGAACUGGUCUACCGAUGACGCCAUAGACACAGCACUACACACUGUCCUCUCUCACCUGGAGAAGAGGGAUGCAUACGUUAGAAUGCUGUUCCUGGACUACAGUUCAGCAUUCAACACUAUAGUUCCGUCCAACCUUGACAGGAAGCUCAGAGACCUUGGCCUGCACCCCACCUUGUGCAGCUGGAUCCUGGACUUCCUAUCGGAUCACUAACAGUUGGUAAGGAUGGGCUCCUUCACCUCUGCCCCUCUGACCCUCAACACAGGUGCCCCCAAGUUUGUGUCCUGAGUCCCCUCCUCUAUUCCCUUUACACCCAUGACUGUGCUGCCACACACAGCUCUAAUCUGCUGAUCAAAUUCGCAGAUGACACAACAUUGUUCAGCCUUAUUUCUAGCAGUGACGAGACAGGCUACACAGUGGUGCCAAGAUAACAACCUCUCCCUCAACGUCCAAAAAACAAGAGAGCUGACCGUGGAAUACAGAAGGAACAGAGACAGGCUCACACCGAUCAACCUCAAUGGGACUGCAGUUGAGACGACACUCUACUGGCUCCAUUUCCUGAUUUCUGAGUCAGAGUCCGGAUUACAGAGGCUGAAGCUGUGACUUAGAUUUCCUUCAAAACAUAACAUCUGUCUGAGCUCUCCAGAAUGUCAACAAGAAGGCGGAAACCAUCAGAAAACAGAAUGAUCAACACAUGGAACAAGAUAGCAGAGGCAGAAAGAGUGAAACGACGAGACUAAAGAAAGCAGAAGCACUAAGGAACAUCGGAAGUGAGCAGAAACUGAGGGCACGUAACAUAAACAGAAAAAGAAUUCCCUGUAAACUCAAGAGAUUGUUGUGUGUGAAAAUCCCAAGAGAUCAGCAGGUCUUGAGAUACUCAAGUCACCCCAUCUGGCACCACCAGUCAUUCUAC
This is a long non-coding RNA of Mobula hypostoma (lesser devil ray), 1240 nucleotides long. RefSeq lists it as uncharacterized. NCBI's taxonomy places the organism in Eukaryota, Metazoa, Chordata, Chondrichthyes, Myliobatiformes, Myliobatidae. The transcript has 3 exons. The record is from RefSeq and is a predicted model, not a curated record.